AGUAGCCGCGGUAAUACGAAGGGGGCUAGCGUUGCUCGGAAUCACUGGGCGUAAAGGGUGCGUAGGCGGGUCUUUAAGUCAGGGGUGAAAUCCUGGAGCUCAACUCCAGAACUGCCUUUGAUACUGAAGAUCUUGAGUUCGGGAGAGGUGAGUGGAACUGCGAGUGUAGAGGUGAAAUUCGUAGAUAUUCGCAAGAACACCAGUGGCGAAGGCGGUUCACUGGCCCGAUACUGACGCUGAGGCACGAAAGCGUGGGGAGCAAACAGGAUUAGAUACCCCCGUAGUCCCUGUCUCUUAUACA
RNAcentral lists this ribosomal RNA (301 nucleotides) under uncultured bacterium. RNAcentral describes it as "partial 16S ribosomal RNA". It matches the Rfam family "Bacterial small subunit ribosomal RNA", at positions 510 to 808 of the family's 1533-position model. The record is from RNAcentral.